AUUGAACGCUGGCGGCAUGCUUUACACAUGCAAGUCGAACGGCAGCACGGGCUUCGGCCUGGUGGCGAGUGGCGAACGGGUGAGUAAUAUAUCGGAACGUACCCAGAAGUGGGGGAUAACGUAGCGAAAGUUACGCUAAUACCGCAUACGAUCUAUGGAUGAAAGCAGGGGACCGCAAGGCCUUGUGCUCCUGGAGCGGCCGAUAUCUGAUUAGCUAGUUGGUGAGGUAAAGGCUCACCAAGGCGACGAUCAGUAGCUGGUGUGAGAGGACGACCAGCCACACUGGAACUGAGACACGGUCCAGACUCCUACGGGAGGCAGCAGUGGGGAAUUUUGGACAAUGGGCGCAAGACUGAUCCAGCAAUGCCGCGUGAGUGAAGAAGGCCUUCGGGUUGUAAAGCUCUUUUGUCAGGGAAGAAACGGUAGAGGCUAAUAUCCUGUGCUAAUGACGGUACCUGAAGAAUAAGCACCGGCUAACUACGUG
This 484-nucleotide ribosomal RNA is filed under the name uncultured bacterium. Its description in RNAcentral is "partial 16S ribosomal RNA". It matches the Rfam family "Bacterial small subunit ribosomal RNA", at positions 30 to 507 of the family's 1533-position model. The record is from RNAcentral.